This is a long non-coding RNA of Culex quinquefasciatus (southern house mosquito), 487 nucleotides long. RefSeq lists it as uncharacterized. NCBI's taxonomy places the organism in Eukaryota, Metazoa, Arthropoda, Insecta, Diptera, Culicidae. The record is from RefSeq and is a predicted model, not a curated record. The transcript has 3 exons.
UUUGAGUCCUGCCUAAUUUCCCUAACCCGUACUUUGCGCUGCUUGAUUGUAGUGCUUAGUUUCAACAAAUCCCACCAGAUGGCAGUGGGUACGUGACAUAUAAGGCCUUUUGAAGAAUGUGCUCCUUGCUUCCGCCGGCCGGCCAGUCAGUCUCACUUCUAUUGCAGCUAUCGGACGAAGCAGUUUAGAUUUUAAUUUUUUGGACAACGUUUUAAGUUACUUAAAUUGCACGUGAACAUGUGACUUGUAAAAGUAUUAAGCUUGUAGUUUGCGAACUCAAGUGGAAGUUGCAAGAAUGUGAAAUUAGCGAGAUUCGCCAUGAAUUCGGAUCGUCAAGAUGUCAGACCAGCAUGGGGACAUGUCCGGCUCAACCAACUUGGAAAUGAUGAAAAGGUUUCGGUGACCAGGGAUAAAAGCAAAAUCGUUUGAUGGCUUCUUCAACUGGACAGAAUUAAAGUUUCAAAUAAAUCGGCUGAAAUCCUAAAAA